Molecule: transfer RNA, 75 nt
Filed under: Camelus bactrianus (Bactrian camel)
Lineage: Eukaryota; Metazoa; Chordata; Mammalia; Artiodactyla; Camelidae
Also listed under: 2 other names
Rfam family: tRNA
About the family: Transfer RNA (tRNA) molecules are approximately 80 nucleotides in length. Their secondary structure includes four short double-helical elements and three loops (D, anti-codon, and T loops).
Source: Rfam by way of RNAcentral
GAAGGUAUAGCUCAGGGGUAGAGCACGUGCUUGGCAUGCUGCAGGAGGUCUUGGGCUCAAUCCCCGGUCCCUCCA